CUCAGUUCGGAUUGUAGUCUGCAACUCGACUACAUGAAGCUGGAAUCGCUAGUAAUCGCGAAUCAGAAUGUCGCGGUGAAUACGUUCCCGGGUCUUGUACACACCGCCCGUCACACCAUGGGAGUCGGAAAUGCCCGAAGCCGGGUGACUCAACCGCAAGGAGAGAGCCGUCGAAGGCAGGUCUGAUAACUGGGGUGAAGUCGUAACAAGGUAUC
This 215-nucleotide ribosomal RNA is filed under the name uncultured bacterium. RNAcentral's name for it is "partial 16S ribosomal RNA". It matches the Rfam family "Bacterial small subunit ribosomal RNA", at positions 1287 to 1500 of the family's 1533-position model. The record is from RNAcentral.